GAGUUUGAUCGUGGCUCAGGAUGAACGCUAGCGGCAGGCUUAACACAUGCAAGUCGAGGGGUAGGUCAUUUCGGUGACUGAGACCGGCGCACGGGUGCGUAACGCGUAUGCAAUCUGCCUUUUACAGAGGGAUAGCCCAGAGAAAUUUGGAUUAAUACCUCAUAGUAUUAUGAAUCGGCAUCGAUUUAUAAUUAAAGUUCCAACGGUAAAAGAUGAGCAUGCGUCCCAUUAGCUAGAUGGUAAGGUAACGGCUUACCAUGGCGACGAUGGGUAGGGGUCCUGAGAGGGAGAUCCCCCACACUGGUACUGAGACACGGACCAGACUCCUACGGGAGGCAGCAGUGGGGAAUAUUGGACAAUGGGCGCAAGCCUGAUCCAGCCAUGCCGCGUGGGUGAUGAAGGCCCUAGGGGUUGUAAAGCCCUUUCGGCGGGGAAGAUAAUGACGGUACCCGCAGAAGAAGCCCCCGGCUAACUUCGUGCCAGCAGCCGCGGUAAC
RNAcentral lists this ribosomal RNA (496 nucleotides) under uncultured Flavobacterium sp. Its description in RNAcentral is "bacterial SSU rRNA". It matches the Rfam family "Bacterial small subunit ribosomal RNA", at positions 9 to 524 of the family's 1533-position model. Lineage: Bacteria; Pseudomonadati; Bacteroidota; Flavobacteriia; Flavobacteriales; Flavobacteriaceae. The record is from RNAcentral.